RNAcentral lists this ribosomal RNA (1437 nucleotides) under uncultured bacterium. RNAcentral describes it as "bacterial SSU rRNA". It matches the Rfam family "Bacterial small subunit ribosomal RNA". The record is from RNAcentral.
AGAGUUUGAUCAUGGCUCAGAACGUACGCUGGCGGCACGCCUAAUACAUGCAAGUCGAACGAAGUAGCAAUACUUAGUGGCAGACGGGUGAGUAACAUGUAGGUAUCUUCCCAUUGGUGAGGAAUAACACGAGGAAACUUGUGCUAAUACCUCAUAAGUCUUCACGGAGAAAGCUUUAUGCGCCGAUGGAUGAGCCUGCACUUGAUUAGUUUGUUGGUAGGGUAAUGGCCUACCAAGACAAUGAUCAAUAGCUGAUUUGAGAGGAUGAUCAGCCACAUUGGGACUGAGACACGGCCCAAACUCCUACGGGAGGCAGCAGUAGGGAAUCUUGCACAAUGGGGGAAACCCUGAUGCAGCGAUGCCGCGUGAGUGAAGAAGGCCUUUGGGUUGUAAAGCUCUUUCGUCGGGGAAGAAAAUGACUGUACCCGAAUAAGAAGGUCCGGCUAACUUCGUGCCAGCAGCCGCGGUAAUACGAAGGGACCUAGCGUAGUUCGGAAUUACUGGGCUUAAAGAGUUCGUAGGUGGUUAAAAAAGUUGGUGGUGAAAUCCCAGAGCUUAACUCUGGAACUGCCAUCAAAACUUUUUAGCUAGAGUAUGAUAGAGGAAAGCAGAAUUUCUAGUGUAGAGGUGAAAUUCGUAGAUAUUAGAAAGAAUACCAAUUGCGAAGGCAGCUUUCUGGAUCAUUACUGACACUGAGGAACGAAAGCAUGGGUAGCGAAGAGGAUUAGAUACCCUCGUAGUCCAUGCCGUAAACGAUGUGUGUUAGACGUUGGAAAUUUAUUUUCUGUGUCGCAGCGAAAGCAAUAAACACACCGCCUGGGGAGUACGACCGCAAGGUUAAAACUCAAAUGAAUUGACGGGGACCCGCACAAGUAGUGGAGCAUGUGGUUUAAUUCGAAGAUACGCGCAGAACCUUACCAACACUUGACAUGUUCGUCGCGACUUUAAGAGAUUAAAGUUUUCGGUUCGGCCGGACGAAACACAGGUGCUGCAUGGCUGUCGUCAGCUCGUGUCGUGAGAUGUUGGGUUAAGUCCCGCAACGAGCGCAACCCUCACUUUUAGUUGCCAUCAUUUAGUUGGGCACUCUGAAAGAACUGCCAGUGAUAAGCUGGAGGAAGGUGGGGAUGACGUCAAGUCCUCAUGGCCCUUACGUGUUGGGCUACACACGUGCUACAAUGGCAUUUACAAUAGGAAGCAAGACGGCGACGUUAAGCAAAUCCUAAAAAAAUGCCUCAGUUCGGAUUGUACUCUGCAACUCGAGUACAUGAAGCUGGAAUUACUAGUAAUCGCGGAUCAGCGCGCCGCGGUGAAUACGUUCCCGGGUCUUGUACACACCGCCCGUCACACCAUGGGAGUUGGUUCUACCUUAAGGCAAAGUUUAAAACCUUUGACCACGGUAUAGUCAGCGACUGGGGUGAAGUCGUAACAAGGUAACCG